CUCAUUUUGAAACUACAACACAAAGAUUAUAACAUUUUUCCUUAGAAGAAAAAAGAAAAGGAGAAGAAAAGAACCUGAACAUAUUUAAGGGAACAACAGCGUGAAGUUGAUCAAUCAUCUUUUAAUAAGUGAGCAAUGAACCCAUGACGAAGAGCAUCAUGGCUGCUAUUUCCGCUGUGAAAAUUGGACGGCAGCCUCAACCACCAAAUUAGAAUUUGAAACUUAAGCUUCCUGACGCUCCCGGAUUUCAACCCAAAACAUAAUCCUUAGUCAAAUUGGAAAGAAUUUUUAAAAGUAAAUUUCAUAGGUACACGAAACAAAAACUAAAUAUAAUCAUCAUAAAACAUAAUCAUAAAAAUCUUUACAGAAACAAACAAAACUUUCAGAAGUCUAACACCAAAUUGAAUAGAAUUAAUUGAAUAGAAUUUGACAAAUUCUUGAUGGUAGAAUAAAAAUGGAGACAAAAUAUUGAGAGUAUAUAAGAAGAAAGAAGAAUUGUUAUCAUAUACAACGUGUAAAAAAAAAUCUUUCUUUUUGUUUUUUCAUUGUUAUCAUAUACAACCGGCUAAUGACAGAGUAAGUCCAACAUUGGAAGCUUACGUACCUAAGUCAGGAAAAAGGAUUCGACGGGUCUAUAUAUACAGACAAUUUAAAUAUUCCAAUUCAUUAUUCGAAGUGUCAAUAUGAAUCCUUUUCAUGUGUUUCAAUCUCGUCAUGUACAUCUGCCAAGAAAUUAAAAGGGAAAAAAAAUUAUAAGGGUUGGUUAAUGUCUUGUCAAACUACAUGAAUUUAUUAAUUUUUUGGAAAUAUUCAACAAUUAAUCAAGUUUCAUAAACAUUUGAAAAGAAGAACUGCAAAUUAACAACUUCUUGAAAACUACUUAUAAAAGAGUCCAUUGAUACGUCACGAAUGAGAACUAUUACCAAUGAAAUCAAAUUAAAAGGAAAUCUUUUGAAUGUUUCCAUGGAGCAAUAAAAUCAAGAAUAUGAAGACAAAAAAUAGUAAGAAUAGAGAGAAUAUUGUUUUGCAAGAGAAGUUUUUGACAGAUAAAGUGCAAGUAAUGGCUCGAAACUUACCAAACUUUAUGGAUUAAAAGAUUUAUGGGUGACACUUCAAUUUUCGGCUCAUCAAUAUUUUUUGGAAGAUUUCUGUGUGCGAUUCUUUGCAGAACGAAAUACUAAAUUAUUGAUAUGCAAUUUGAAU
Molecule: long non-coding RNA, 1203 nt
Filed under: Erythranthe guttata (spotted monkey flower)
Lineage: Eukaryota; Viridiplantae; Streptophyta; Magnoliopsida; Lamiales; Phrymaceae
Description: long non-coding RNA (EGUT_LNC001201)
Source: RNAcentral